UACGGAGGGUGCUGGCGUUAUCCGGAUUUAUUGGGUUUAAAGGGUCCGUAGGCGGACCGAUAAGUCAGUGGUGAAAUCUCGCAGCUUAACUGUGAAACUGCCAUUGAUACUGUCGGUCCUGAGUGAACUUGAGGUAGCUGGAAUAAACAGUGUAGCGGUGAAAUGCAUAGAUAUUACUUAGAACACCAAUUGCGAAGGCAGGUUACUAAGAUUCAACUGACGGUGAGGGACGAAAGCGUGGGUAGCGAACAGG
RNAcentral lists this ribosomal RNA (253 nucleotides) under uncultured bacterium. Its description in RNAcentral is "partial 16S ribosomal RNA". It matches the Rfam family "Bacterial small subunit ribosomal RNA", at positions 524 to 776 of the family's 1533-position model. The record is from RNAcentral.